CUGGGGGAUGCCCUUUCACAUCCAGUCCAUUUGGAUUCUCCGAAGCCUGCACGCUGGAAUGGCUGAGUCAUCUGAACAGCAAAGAUGGCAAGUCUGCCUCUCUCUCCAGAAGUUCCAUCCCAUCUCAGAAGAUAGAACAUGAGAAGAUUGACUUCAAUUAUGAAUGCAGAGCUCCCUGAGACUUCUGGCAAUAACUUCCAAAGAGAAACAGACCAAGCAAAGGAGAUAAGUUCAUUCUCUAUAAAAUAUGUAAACACAGUGAAAACAAAAGCCUUUACAAAUGCUUUAACUUCAGGCUUGCUUAAAAAACAUAAAGGAGUAAGUUCAAUCUUUCCAAAUUGAAAAUACAAACCAAUGCAUUGAAGCAUUUCAGAUAACCUCUUGCUCAUGUUUAUUUCGUAUAUUUUCUGAUUUUUUUUGUCAUGUCAAUAUAUUUACUACUCUUGAGAGGUGUGUGUGAGGGGUGUAUGUAUGUGUGAGACAAGAGAUUUUAUUAAGAAAGCGAAAGGACAAGCCACAGACAAAAUAUUUCCAAACCACAUGUAGGAUAAAGUGCUCAUAUCUAAAAUGUAUAAAGAACAUUAAAAGCCAAUAAUAAGGGGAUAUCUAAACCAAAGUAAAAUAAGCAAUGGAGUUUAAUGGAAUUACUAAGUCUCAAAAUAAAGAUAUAUGAUGGCUCAUAUAUAUAUUUAUUACAUACUCUCAAAGAUAUGUAAAUGACUAAUAAACAGAAAAAUAAUUAUAUGCUCUGACAAUUCUACUCUUAGGCAUUUACCCGCGAAAUGAAAAUGUAUAUAUAUAAAAGGUCUUACAAACAACUGUUCAUGGCAGCAAUGCAAAAGAUGCCACAAAUGUAAGCAAUGUAAAUGUGCAUCCUCUGUUACAUAUGUUAUAAUGUUGUAUAUCCACAUAAUAAAAAUCAUUUAGCAAUACAAGGGACCGAACAAUGGAUAAAAUUAU
Molecule: long non-coding RNA, 960 nt
Filed under: Homo sapiens (human)
Lineage: Eukaryota; Metazoa; Chordata; Mammalia; Primates; Hominidae
Description: HSALNT0038391
Source: RNAcentral